UUUUCUUAGUAGCGGCGAGCGAAAAGAAAUCAGUUCAGCACUAAGUCACUUUGUCUUUAUGGCAAAUGUGAGAUGCAGUGUAUGGAACGUCUACAAUCUAGUAUGAGAAAUUAAUGAUUUAAGUCCUUCUUAAAUGAGGCCAAUUACCCAUAGAGGGUGCCAGGCCCGUAUAACGUUAAUGAUUACUAGAAGGCGAUUCCAAAGAGUCGUGUUGCUUGAUAGUGCAGCACUAAGUUGGUGGUAAACUCCAUCUAAAACUAAAUAUGACCAUGAGACCGAUAGUAAACAAGUACCGUGAGGGAAAGUUGAAAAGAACUCUGAAUAGAGAGUUAAAUAGUACGUGAAACUGCUUAGAGGUUAAGCCCGAUGAACCUGAAUAUCCGUUAUGGAAAAUUCAUCAUUAAAAUUGUAAUAUCUUUACUUUUUGUUUUUUUUAACAAAAAGAAAGAAAAUAUUAUAAUGAUAGUGUGCAUUUUUUCCAUAUAAGGACAUUGUAAUCUAUUAACAUAAUAAAAUGUUUAUCAAAAAAUCAUAAACAUAAAGUUUAUUUAAAUUAUUAUGCUUGCAUUUUAACAUAGAAUAAAUGUUAAUGAUUUGAUAAAGUGUUGAUAAAUUUAUCAUAUAUACAAUGCUUUAAUUUUUCGAAAUUAUAUAAUAGCAUAAUUAUCAUCGAUUUUUAUGUUUAUUAUAUGCAUUUGUAUGAUUAACAAUGCGAAAGAUUCAGGAUACCCUCGGGACCCGUCUUGAAACACGGACCAAGGAGUCUAACAUAUAUGCAAGUCAUUGGGAUUUUAUAAACCUAAUGGCAUAAUUAACUUAACUGUUGUUAAUAUAUGGGAUUAGUUUUUAAACUAUUUAUAGUUUAUUAACACAAUCCCGGGGCGUUCUAUAUAGUUAUGUAUAAUAAUAUUUAUAUUAUU
This 920-nucleotide ribosomal RNA is filed under the name Stegana sp. 1223 JL-2019. Its description in RNAcentral is "partial 28S ribosomal RNA". It matches the Rfam family "Eukaryotic large subunit ribosomal RNA", at positions 75 to 804 of the family's 3401-position model. The record is from RNAcentral. Lineage: Eukaryota; Metazoa; Arthropoda; Insecta; Diptera; Drosophilidae.